RNAcentral lists this ribosomal RNA (576 nucleotides) under uncultured bacterium. RNAcentral's name for it is "bacterial SSU rRNA". It matches the Rfam family "Bacterial small subunit ribosomal RNA", at positions 35 to 643 of the family's 1533-position model. The record is from RNAcentral.
GCUGGCGGCGUGCCUAACACAUGCAAGUCGAACGAGAAAGUGGAGCAAUCCAUGAGUAAAGUGGCGACCGGGUGAGUAACACGUGACUAACCUGCCUUCGAGUGGGGGAUAACCUCGGGAAACCGGGGCUAAUACCGCAUAAUGCCGAAAGGUUGAAGGAGCAAUUCGCUUGAAGAGGGGGUCGCGGCUGAUUAGCUAGUUGGCGGGGUAACGGCCCACCAAGGCGAUGAUCGGUAGCCGGCCUGAGAGGGCGCACGGCCACACUGGAACUGAAACACGGUCCAGACUCCUACGGGAGGCAGCAGUGGGGAAUUUUGCGCAAUGGGGGAAACCCUGACGCAGCAACGCCGCGUGGAGGAUGAAGUCCUUUGGGACGUAAACUCCUUUCGACCGGGACGAUAAUGACGGUACCGGUGGAAGAAGCCCCGGCUAACUUCGUGCCAGCAGCCGCGGUAAUACGAGGGGGGCAAGCGUUGUUCGGAAUUAUUGGGCGUAAAGGGCGCGUANGCGGUGCGGUAAGUCACCUGUGAAACCUCUGGGCUUAACUCAGAGCCUGCAGGCGAAACUGCCGUGCUG